RNAcentral lists this small nuclear RNA (164 nucleotides) under Prolemur simus (greater bamboo lemur). RNAcentral's name for it is "U1 spliceosomal RNA (ENSPSMG00000017536.1)". It matches the Rfam family "U1 spliceosomal RNA". From Rfam's summary of the family: U1 is a small nuclear RNA (snRNA) component of the spliceosome (involved in pre-mRNA splicing). Its 5' end forms complementary base pairs with the 5' splice junction, thus defining the 5' donor site of an intron. Lineage: Eukaryota; Metazoa; Chordata; Mammalia; Primates; Lemuridae. The record is from Rfam by way of RNAcentral.
AUACUUACCUGGCAGGGGAGAUACCAUGAUCACGAAGGUGGUUCUCCCAGGGCAGGGCUUAGCCACUGCACUCCGGAUGUGCUGACCCCUGUGAUUUCCCCAAAGGUGGGAAACUGGACUGCAUAAUUUGUGGUAGUAGGGGACUGUGUUCACACUCUUCCUUG